UGAACGCUGGCGGCGUGCCUCACACAUGCAAGUCGAACGGAGUCGUUUUGGAAAUCUCUUCGGAGAUGGAAUUCUCGACUUAGUGGCGGACGGGUGAGUAACGCGUGAGCAAUCUGCCUUUAAGAGGGGGAUAACAGUCGGAAACGGCUGCUAAUACCGCAUAAAGCAUUAAAUUCGCAUGUUUUUGAUGCCAAAGGAGCAAUCCGCUUUUAGAUGAGCUCGCGUCUGAUUAGCUAGUUGGCGGGGUAACGGCCCACCAAGGCGACGAUCAGUAGCCGGACUGAGAGGUUGAACGGCCACAUUGGGACUGAGACACGGCCCAGACUCCUACGGGAGGCAGCAGUGGGGAAUAUUGCGCAAUGGGGGAAACCCUGACGCAGCAACGCCGCGUGAUUGAAGAAGGCCUUCGGGUUGUAAAGAUCUUUAAUCAGGGACGAAACAAAUGACGGUACCUGAAGAAUAAGCUCCGGCUAACUACGUG
RNAcentral lists this ribosomal RNA (481 nucleotides) under uncultured bacterium. RNAcentral's name for it is "partial 16S ribosomal RNA". It matches the Rfam family "Bacterial small subunit ribosomal RNA", at positions 30 to 507 of the family's 1533-position model. The record is from RNAcentral.